Molecule: long non-coding RNA, 1977 nt
Organism: Cyprinus carpio (common carp)
Lineage: Eukaryota; Metazoa; Chordata; Actinopteri; Cypriniformes; Cyprinidae
Source: Ensembl
AUGUCUAUAAAUGCUGAUCCCAAUGCAUCUUUUUCAUUAUCAACAUGGAUAUUAACCACACACACAACACCACAUAACACAACACAACACCACACACACAACACACACACACAAAACACAACACCACACACGCAACAAAACACAACACCACACACACACAGAACACAACACCACACAGAACACACACACAACACCACAGAACACAACACCACACCACGCACACAACACAGAACACAACACAACACAACACCACACACAACACAACACAACACACAGAACACAACACCACAGAUCACAACACCACACACACACAACACAAAACAACACACAGAACACCACACCACACACACACAACACAAAACACAACACCACACACAGAACACAACAACACACCACUACACACACACACACACACACACACACACACACACACACACACACAGAACACAACACACCAACACAACACCACACACACAACACAACACCACACACAAAGAACACAACACCACACAGAACACCACACCACAGAACACAACACACACACACAACAAAGAAUACAACACCACACACACAUAUACACACACACACACAGAACACCACACAGACACAACAACACACACACACACACACACACACACAACACCACAGAACACACACACACAACACAAAACACAACACCACACACACAGUACACACCACUACACACAGAACACACCACUACACACACACACACACACACACACACAGAACACAUCACCACACACACACAAAACACAACACACCACCACACACACACACACACACACACACACACACACACACAGAACACACACAGAACACAACACAACACCACACACAACACAACACACCACACAGAACACAACACCACACACAACAAGAACACAACACCACACAGAACACACACACAACACAAAACACAACACACACACACACACAACACAACACACAACACAACACACAACACCACACACACACACACAACACCACACAGAACACACACACACACAACACAGAACAAAACACACAGAACACAACACCACACAGAACACACAACACCACACACACACAGAACACAACACCACACACAACACACUAACACACAACACAGAACAAAACACACAGAACACAACACCACACAGAACACACACACACACAACACCACAGAACACAACAGCACAUCACGCACACAACACAGAACACAACACAACACCACACACAACACCACACACACACACACACACACACACACACACAACACAACACACAAAACACAACACCACACACAACACAGAACACACACACAACACAACACACAAAACACAACACCACACACAACACAGAACACACAACACACACACACACAGAACACAACACCACACAGAACACACAACACCACACACACACACACACACACACACACACCGAACACAACACCACACCACGCACACAACACACAACACACCACACAGAACACACACACACACACACACACACACACACACACACACACACACCACACACACACCACACAGAACACAACACCACAGAACACACAGAACACAACACCACACAGAACACAACACACACACAUCACACACACACAUAACACAAAGAACACAACACCACACACAUAUACACACACACACACAUCACACACACACAUCACACCACACAGACACAACAACACACACCACACACACAACACAAAACACAACACCACACACACAACACACAGAACACUCACACAGAACACCACACAGACACAACAACACACAGAACACACACACACACAACACCAGAGAACACAAGGCCCCCCCCCCCCCCCCACCCACCCACACACACACACAACACAAAACACAACACCACAACACAAAACACAACACCACACACACAGAACACACUACUACACACAGAACACACCACACACACACACAGCUACAACAGUCGGUGAGUUAA